CCUACGGGUGGUAGCAGUGAGGAAUAUUGGUCAAUGGACGAGAGUCUGAACCAGCCAAGUAGCGUGAAGGAUGACUGCCCUAUGGGUGGUAAACUUCUUUUAUAUGGGAAUAAAAUGUUCCACGUGUGGGAUUUUGUAUGUACCAUAUGAAUAAGGAACGGCUAAGUCCGUGCCAGGAGCCGAGGUAAUGCGGAGGAUACGGGCGUUAUCCGGAUUUACUGGGGUGAAAGGGAGCGGAGGAGGAUUUUUAAGUCAGUUGUGAAAGGUUGCGGCUCAACCUGAACAUUGCAGUUGAAACUGGCAGUCUUGAGUACAGUAGAGGUGGGCAGAAUUCGUGGUGUAGCGGUGAAAUGCUUAGAUAUCUCGAAGAAUUCCGAUUGCGAAGGCAGUCCACUGGACUGCAACUGACACUGAGGCUCGAAAGUGUGGGUAUCAAACAGGAUUAGAUACCCUUGUAGUC
RNAcentral lists this ribosomal RNA (460 nucleotides) under uncultured bacterium. Its description in RNAcentral is "partial 16S ribosomal RNA". It matches the Rfam family "Bacterial small subunit ribosomal RNA", at positions 338 to 795 of the family's 1533-position model. The record is from RNAcentral.